Non-coding RNA from Carica papaya (papaya), 398 nucleotides. The record is from RefSeq and is a predicted model, not a curated record. NCBI's taxonomy places the organism in Eukaryota, Viridiplantae, Streptophyta, Magnoliopsida, Brassicales, Caricaceae.
GAAAAGAAACCCUUCAAAAAUUUCGUUUAUCAUCGAAGCAAGGAAGACGAAGAAGACACAAGCAUAUAUAUAUAUAUACACACACACAUAUAUAUAAUCCCCAUUCGAUGCCCCAAGACAUCACCGCCGUUGUAUACUCUUUGCCAGAGUUGCGAUUGUUACUUCUCAAAGUGAUUGGACGGUAGGAGAUGAAGAAUUGGUUUUGAAAGACAUUUUUUCGUUUCAUUUUCGCCGCCUUUGCUGCAAUUAUGGCACAGCAAUCGUCGCGCCUCAAUCGGCUACUAACUUUGUUGGACACUGGUUCAACACAAACGACACGGUUUACUGCCGCACGGCAGAUUGGGGAUAUUGCCAAGUCGCAUCCGCAGGAGCUGAACUCUCUGUUGAGGAAGGUAAGC